RNAcentral lists this long non-coding RNA (333 nucleotides) under Gorilla gorilla gorilla (western lowland gorilla). Its description in RNAcentral is "lncRNA (ENSGGOG00000044359.1)". The record is from RNAcentral. Lineage: Eukaryota; Metazoa; Chordata; Mammalia; Primates; Hominidae.
UGUACCCCCAGCGUUAAGCAAUGCAUGACUGUACACAUAAAACCUAUACAACCAGGAAUCAAGUGGCCAAGGCUAGAAGCACAUGUGUCCAGCCAUGCGUAGAAGCAACACGGAGUUUCUACUGACACCGAACUUCACCUGAGUUUCGAGGCCCUGCAAAAGGAUGGUCAAGAAGCUCCACCUUCCACGUUCCAGAAAUGGUUCCCUGCGAAGAUCACCUUCCUCGCAGGUCGGGCCGGACGCGGAUACACCCGCCUCCGUAGGCCUGAGCGAGCCUGAGCGUCUGGGCGCGCCGAGUCCCCGCCGAGGAAACGUCCCAUGUGGAGACACGAG